AUAAUACUAGGCAGACCACCCCCAACUUUCGGUCUAGUUUCCAGCCAUUAAAAUGAACUGCUAAGAACAGAAAUAAAAUUGAAAUGUUGAGAGAGAUUGUUAUAUAUGUGAGUCCCUUGCUAUUCACUUCUAUAGGAGCAGAUGCAUUCGUAAAUGCAGUCUUAAUAAACCAGGGAAGACCUAGGCAUAGCAUAUCAAACACAUUGGAUCCAACGAUGUUCGAUACAGCCAUGUCUCCUUUACCUGCAGAAGAAUAGCAUGUUGUUAAAAUGUGCACAUCAAUACUAUAUUUUAUUAAUAAUCUUCAUAAGAAAAACACUGGAUACUUUUUGUUGGUUAGUUUUAGAAAACUGUUAUUGUUAGAGCAAGAGUCUUAUCGAAUUUGUAUUUCCUUGGGUUAGUAUUUUAAAGUCUUAACAUUUAUUUAAUAAUUGUCUUUAUUUAUUAAACCAUUUUUAAUAAGGUAUGCAGCUUACUUAUUGCUUUUUAUUCUCAUUUGACAGUGAAUUACCAUCUAAUGCACAUUUCAGUUUGCCUGAUGUCAAAUAUGUUCUGAUUGGGAAAAAUAUGGAAGUUACCUGGACAUUCUUAUCUUCUUCAUGAAAAAGAAAACUAUUUGUUUGUUUGUUUGUUUGUUUGUUAGCAUACAGUUACAAUAAAGUUAGUUAUCUGGGAGAAAUCAGACCAGCCAGUUUGGAGAAGCUUCCAGGUAGUAAUUAUUUCAACUUUAUAGUGUUUGAAUUUUUGUUGUAAUUCUUUAGUCCCAGCAAUGUGUAAAGACAGCAGUGUAUACAUGUUAGUAGAUGUCUAGGCCCAGCUGUGGUCAGUGAAGCUUCGCUGACACAAUGAGGUUGAAUGAUUUAGGUAUAGAGGAAAGAGAUUUUUCAUUUCUAAUGGACAUAUUAAACUAAGUGGUAAAACGUACUCUGGAAGGUACUAGAAACCUAAAAAACAAAACUUUGAUUCUCAUUUAGUCAUAUUCAUUGUAUUUGUGAUACAUAUUUAAAGCAAAAGAAAACAUCAUCUAGUCAAACAGAAAGCACCCACUGCAUACCCCAAACCCCAGUCAAUUUCUUUUUCUACUUUCUACUGUGGAUUAGAAUUACUUUUAUGAAGAAUUCUCAUGAACCCUGUGUAAUUAUAAAUAUAUCAUAUGAAUUGUACCCCAGGCUGUGUCAUAGCAUACAUAGGAAAUGCUUUUGAUGUGUAACUCACAAAAACUUGAAUGAGCUUGUUUUUGAUAUUAAAGUUUUUAUAUUUUGUAGUUUUUAGACUUGCUGAAAAAAAGUGUGCUCCCAAGACUACUGCAAAUGAAUACUUCCAAUUUGUUCUUACAUGGAAUCAUUUUCUUGUGCUAUUCUACUUAAAUUCCAUACCUGUUACUGUGACCAUCCAAACUAGGAUGUAUGUGAAUGCAGAUAUCCAUAGUGCAGACAUGAAAAAGGUUAUCACAAAGUAAUUUUUCCAAAACUUUCUCCUGCAGUCUGGUGUUGUCAGAGCAAGUAAUGUAAUAAUAGGAAGCGAGAGAACCCAAAAAAUUCUUCUUAAAUCUGCUUCUGGCAUGCUGAAAACACUUGGUGGAUCUGUGAUGGGAAAGUUAAACAUUUUGAGUUUUCUCAAAUGUACAGCUAUUAUUAGGCCCAUUUAGAAGGCUGUUUUGAAAUAAGUUACUGUAUGUAUUUUUUAAAGACUGUCUAGAACAGUUGUCUCAACCUAUGGGUCUUCACCCCUUUGGUGUUGAACAACCAUUUCACAAGGGUCCCCUAAGACCAUGAGAAAUCACAGAUACUUUAUUACAAUUUAUAACAGCAAAAUUACAACUAUCUGUAGUGUCAAUGAAAAUAAUUUUGUGGUUGGAAGUACCACAGUAAGAGGAACUAUGUCAAAUGGUCUCAGCAUUAGGAGGAUUGAGAAGCACUGGUCUAGAACAUUAGGAUACUCCUUACUGUUACUGCUGGUCAGAAGAAACUUAACUAAAACUAGGCAGACAGCAUAAGCUGUGAUGCUCAACAUCCCUUAACCGACUGCUCGAAUCAAAUAUCUUGAACUAUUUGCUGAAUGUGCUGGUGACAGUGUUGACAGAGUGGGAAGUAGGACUUGCUUGCUAGGGACUUGAUGCCUUUGGGAUUAACUUGCUUUCUCUCCCAGCUAUUUCACUUCCCAUCCCUUAUUCAAAAUUGAUGAUGCUUAUGCUUUGCUGUAUAUGGAUGCAUGCUUAGGGAAUGUUCCAAUAAUUCUCAUUGUGCCUCACCAUUUACUAAAUUUAGGCUUCACAGUUGCUAGAAGAAAUCUAGAGAAGGUUGGGCCUAGCAUCCUUGUUGUAGCUCCAGGGGGUGCGCUCUAGGAUGGUGAGUAGAUUGGAUAAAAGUGGGACUCAGCUGUACACUAAUCAAUAUGUUAAGUAUGUGAAGAUUGGAUCAAAUUACAAAUAUUAUAACUCAUAAAAGCUUACCAAGACUCAGACUGUGCACCAUUAAUUUAGAUACAGAUUUUAACAUGAACAUUUUGACUAGUUCUUUGGAGUUUUUGUUGUUUUAAAUUUCUCAGUCUUAAGACUACAAAGUAUGUUUUAUAAAAAUAAAUGUCUCGUGUCAAGUUUUUAAAGUAAUAAAUUGGAAGCUUCCUUCUCAAUCACUUAACUGAAAUUGGAACCACUUUUAUAAAAGCUUUUCUAGUCGGGAAUGCUAUUGUCAUAUCUAGCAUACGAAGCUCAUGUUCUGCUUCACAUAGCAUAUUGAAAUUACACCUGCUUUGCUUUCCCAUUCUGUUCCUCUGAACCAUCCCCUGUGCCUUGAUUGACAGUUGUUACAAAGAUGUUCUUUCUUUCCUUGUCAGUGAAAGUCCAAGUUCCAGCUUUGUCUCUGCUCCCUCUCUGGCUUGGCAUGGCCCUGCUGCUGCCAUAGUUUGCUGCUGCUGCUUCUACUGUGUCUCAUAAUUCAUCCUCACUGCCCUUUCUGGUUUUUUUUGUUCAUGUCCUGUGUCAUCUUAAUUCAGUCUUCUGUGAACAGUGGGGUGAGAGUAAAGAACCUAAAGUGCAGCUCUGACUUUCUCUCAUGAAUGUUGCCUGCUCCUUAGAGUGGCUUGCAUGACUCUUCUGUACUUUCUUCCUAUCAACCUGGUCCUCUGCUGCUUUACUUGCAUGUGUUGGCUCUGUCUUCAAGCAUGUGAACAUGCCUUUGCUAGUGUUCCCAGGCCUCAGUCCAGAGCAUGCUUAUACCCUGCAUCAUUUAUGCAAGAAAAGUGUCAAUUGUUGCUUCCUGACUACACUAUCAGAUUAUUGAGUUAAAGCCUUUCCUAUCCCAUGGGGCCCAAUUCAAAUGCUCCUUUCUCCAUCUGCAUCUCCCAUCUGAAUGUCAUCAAAGUUUAUUCAGUCUGCCUACUGUAUGUCUUAGUAGUUUAUGUUUAUGGUGUUUAUACUUUGAAAGUUUAGCUGAUUUCAGUCUGGGUCUGGGAAAUGGCUCAGUGGGUAAAGGCAUGAGAGUUUGAGCUCAGAUCCCCAACA
Mastomys coucha (southern multimammate mouse) is the source of this 3502-nucleotide long non-coding RNA. RefSeq lists it as uncharacterized. Lineage: Eukaryota; Metazoa; Chordata; Mammalia; Rodentia; Muridae. The transcript is spliced from 2 exons. The record is from RefSeq and is a predicted model, not a curated record.